CUCCUCUUUAUUGGCCAUUCUUGCCUUACAUUUCCUAUCGUCCUGGCCCCAGGUCAAAUUGUUCAUGAUAUUUUCAACUAUGAGAUUCUGUUUUUCCUUGUUGAACUGCAGAAAUGUAUUAUAACUUCAAAAACGCUUUUCUGUUUUCCAGAGAAGGAGCAAAUGUCAAAAUACUUCAGGAGUGGUCUUGAGCCAGAAUUCCUUUGUGGCUCCAUGAUGUAAAGGUCCAUAGAGAGACCCAAAUGGUAAUAGCAACCAACCAUUUAAGGUACUUUAUGACCCAGGCUGCCUUCUGGAUCAGAAAGAUACUCAAAGCUGUAAAGCUCACACAAAGCCAGGCUUUGUUAUCACCUGAGUGUGCAGAAGGACACUAAUCCUGAGUAUGUGCCACCUCGUACACCUCUCACAUGCUUCUCCGUUUUCCCCACUUCACUCUCCUGGGUUCAUUCCAAGAUAGAGAAUGGAAGAAACCAGAGCUGAACUUGUGUGCCUGCAGUCCAGCUGUUAUGCCUGGAGAUGAGUUGUUCUGAACCUAUGGACAUUAAGUUUAGAGUAUGUGGGAAACACUCUCUGCUUUAGCAGAUUUGGUCUUGGGCCAUACCUGCUGCUCUGAGCUCUGACAGUGUGGCCGUGGAAGGACUGUGACGCGAGCCCAAUUUGCUCUUGGAAACGGCCUGCUCUGUUUUCCUUUGCUUUGAGCCCCGAUAUGGUCACAGCCUCUACUUUGGUCUCUCCUCAACACAGCUGAUGCCAACUGCUAUUCCCACGUAGCUGUGUUACCAAGGCCCAGGAUUCUUUUUUCAAUUAGAAAAUAUUUUUGCAAACAUUUUAAAGAACACAUAUUGUGCUUUUUCUUAUUAUAAAGUAAGACAUAUUCAAUGUAGAGAAUUUGGCAAAUACUGAAAAAUAUAAAUUUUUAAAAGCAAGCAUGAAUUCUGAUUCUGCCGGUCGGAGACAACCACUGUUAACAUUUUGUGAAAUUUCUCAUAGAUUUUUAAUCUAGAACCACAGGAAUUUCUAUGAUAGGAUGCUAUAAAAUAUGCUGUUAGACAUUCCAUUUUUUCUCUUAGUAACAUUUUGUGACUGUUUCCUCAUUUUAUUUAAGUAGUCUAUGCAGCCACAUUUAGAUAUGCUUAUGUGUGUGUCCACAUAUACAGAAUGCUUUCCAGCAAUGUAUUUCAUAAUUUAGCAUUGCCCUUAGGCAGGGACCCAUCCAGUAUUCCUACAUAGCAUUACCCUCCCAUUUGUGGUACAGCUACCACAAACCAUGCAUUUUGAUGUUUUACUCCUUACUCUUCAUGCCUAAUUGCAUUUUCUUCAUUUCUUAUUUUUUACAUCAAUUUUUUUUAAAUCUAGUAAUACAGUGCUUAUAAAAAAAGACAAAAAGCCAUCUGUCUGUUUACCACCUAAGAAUCAGCUAUCUCCAGAAGAGAGAUAUUUUUGUUUGAGUUCGUCUAUCAGGGCUGUUUAAUUUUGAAAAGUAUAAAAAAUUAGCUGGCCGGGCGCAGUGGCUCAUGCCUGUAAUCCCAGCACUUUGGGAAGCCGAGGCGGGCGGAUCACAAAGUCAGGAGAUCGAGACCAUCCUGUCUAAGACAGUGAAACCCCGUCUCUACUAAAAAUACAAAAAUUAGCUGGGAGUGGUGGCGGGCGCUUGUAGUCCCAGCUGCUGGGGAGGCUGAGGCAGGAGAAUGGCGUGAACCCAGGGAGCAGAGCUUGCAGUGAGCAGAGAUCACACCACUGCACUCCAGCCUGGGUGACAGAGCAAAACUCCAUCCCCCAAAAAUAAAUAAAUAAAUAAAUAAAUAAAUAAAUAAAUA
This 1817-nucleotide long non-coding RNA is filed under the name Piliocolobus tephrosceles (Ugandan red Colobus). RNAcentral describes it as "lncRNA (ENSPTEG00000021645.1)". Lineage: Eukaryota; Metazoa; Chordata; Mammalia; Primates; Cercopithecidae. The record is from RNAcentral.